GAUGAACGCUGGCGGCGUGCCUAAUACAUGCAAGUCGAGCGAACGGACGAGAAGCUUGCUUCUCUGAUGUUAGCGGCGGACGGGUGAGUAACACGUGGAUAACCUACCUAUAAGACUGGGAUAACUUCGGGAAACCGUAGCUAAUACCGGAUAAUAUUUUGAACCGCAUGGUUCAAAAGUGAAAGACGGUCUUGCUGUCACUUAUAGAUGGAUCCGCGCUGCAUUAGCUAGUUGGUAAGGUAACGGCUUACCAAGGCAACGAUGCAUAGCCGACCUGAGAGGGUGAUCGGCCACACUGGAACUGAGACACGGUCCAGACUCCUACGGGAGGCAGCAGUAGGGAAUCUUCCGCAAUGGGCGAAAGCCUGACGGAGCAACGCCGCGUGAGUGAUGAAGGUCUUCGGAUCUUAAAACUCUGUUAUUAGGGAAGAACAUAUUUGUAAGUAACUGUGCACAUCUUGACGGUACCUAAUCAGAAAGCCACGGCUAACUACGUG
This 497-nucleotide ribosomal RNA is filed under the name uncultured bacterium. Its description in RNAcentral is "partial 16S ribosomal RNA". It matches the Rfam family "Bacterial small subunit ribosomal RNA", at positions 28 to 507 of the family's 1533-position model. The record is from RNAcentral.